GACGAACGCUGGCGGCGUGCUUAACACAUGCAAGUCGAACGGAAAGGCCCUGCUUUUGUGGGGUGCUCGAGUGGCGAACGGGUGAGUAACACGUGAGUAACCUGCCCUUGACUUUGGGAUAACUUCAGGAAACUGGGGCUAAUACCGGAUAGGAGCUCCUGCUGCAUGGUGGGGGUUGGAAAGUUUCGGCGGUUGGGGAUGGACUCGCGGCUUAUCAGCUUGUUGGUGGGGUAGUGGCUUACCAAGGCUUUGACGGGUAGCCGGCCUGAGAGGGUGACCGGCCACAUUGGGACUGAGAUACGGCCCAGACUCCUACGGGAGGCAGCAGUGGGGAAUACUGCGCAAUGGGCGGAAGCCUGAUGCAGCAACGCCGCGUGCGGGAUGACGGCCUUCGGGUUGUAAACCGCUUUCGCCUGUGACGAAGCGUGAGUGACGGUAAUGGGUAAAGAAGCACCGGCUAACUACGUG
Molecule: ribosomal RNA, 468 nt
Filed under: uncultured bacterium
Lineage: Bacteria
Description: partial 16S ribosomal RNA
Rfam family: Bacterial small subunit ribosomal RNA
Source: RNAcentral